GGCGGAGUUGUAGCACACUCUAAGCGUAGUAAUUUACGCCUCGCUUCAAGAGUCGCUGCGGCUGCCUGCCGUAAAACCCCCUAUAUUUCUAAUGGUUGACCUCGGAUUAGGUAGGAAUA
RNAcentral lists this ribosomal RNA (119 nucleotides) under Annulohypoxylon maeteangense. RNAcentral's name for it is "partial 28S ribosomal RNA". Lineage: Eukaryota; Fungi; Ascomycota; Sordariomycetes; Xylariales; Hypoxylaceae. The record is from RNAcentral.